This 1212-nucleotide ribosomal RNA is filed under the name metagenome. RNAcentral describes it as "bacterial LSU rRNA". It matches the Rfam family "Bacterial large subunit ribosomal RNA", at positions 1694 to 2925 of the family's 2925-position model. The record is from RNAcentral.
CCAAAGUAUUGUUAAGGAACUCGGCAAAAUGACCCCGUAACUUCGGGAGAAGGGGUGCCUGCGAGAGCAGGCCGCAGAGAAGAGGCCCAAGCAACUGUUUAGCAAAAACACAGCUCUAUGCAAAACCGAAAGGUGAGGUAUAUGGGCUGACGCCUGCCCGGUGCUGGAAGGUUAAGGGGAGUGGUCAGGAAACGAAGCCACGAACUUAAGCCCCAGUAAACGGCGGCCGUAACAAUAACGGUCCUAAGGUAGCGAAAUUCCUUGUCGGGUAAGUUCCGACCCGCACGAAAGGCGUAAUGAUUUGGGCGCUGUCUCGACAAUACAUCCGGUGAAAUUGAAGUGCCAGUGAAGAUGCUGGCUACCUGCGCCAGGACGGAAAGACCCCAUGGAGCUUUACUCCGGCUUGAUACUGGGACCCGGUAUUGCAUGUACAGGAUAGGUGGGAGGCAAGGAAAUGUGGACGCCAGUCUGCAUGGAGCCGCCGUUGGGAUACCACCCUUGUGGUGCUGGGUUUCUAACCAGAGGCCGUGAACCGGUCUGGGGACAAUGUCAGGUGGGGAGUUUGACUGGGGCGGUCGCCUCCGAAAGGGUAUCGGAGGCGCCCAAAGGUUCCCUCAGAACGGUUGGAAACCAUUCGAAGAGUGCAAAGGCAGAAGGGAGCUUGACUGCGACACCGACGGGUGGAGCAGGUACGAAAGUAGGGCUUAGUGAUCCGGUGGAAUUUAAGUGGGAAUGCCAUCGCUCAACGGAUAAAAGCUACCCUGGGAUAACAGGCUGAUCACUCCCAAGAGUUCACAUCGACGGAGUGGUUUGGCACCUCGAUGUCGGCUCAUCGCAUCCUGGGGCUGAAGUCGGUCCCAAGGGUUGGGCUGUUCGCCCAUUAAAGCGGUACGCGAGCUGGGUUCAGAACGUCGUGAGACAGUUCGGUCCCUAUCCGGCGUGGGCGUAGGAUAUCUGAGAGGAGCUGUCCUUAGUACGAGAGGACCGGGAUGGACUGACCUCUGGUGUACCGGUUGGCGAUCAACGCCACGGCCGGGUAGCCAUGUCGGGACGGGAUAAACGCUGAAGGCAUCUAAGCGUGAAGCCCCCCUCAAGAUGAGAUAUCCCAUCGUAAGAGUAAGACCCCUUGAAGACGACGAGGUUGAUAGGGCAGGGGUGGAAGUGCCGUAAGGCAUGGAGCUGACUGCUACUAAUCGGUCGAGGGCUUGACCU